GACGAACGCUGGCGGCGUGCUUUACACAUGCAAGUCGAACGGUGAAGCGCCUUCCUUUUUGGUGGGUGUGGAUGAGUGGCGAACGGGUGAGUAACACGUGAGUAACCUGCCCCCUUCUUCUGGAUAACCGCAUGAAAGUGUGGCUAAUACGGGAUCUUCUGGGUCUGUCGCAUGAUGGGUCUGGGAAAGAUAUUGUUUCGGUGGGGGAUGGGCUCGCGGCCUAUCAGCUUGUUGGUGGGGUGAUGGCCUACCAAGGCGGUGACGGGUAGCCGGCCUGAGAGGGUGGACGGUCACACUGGGACUGAGACACGGCCCAGACUCCUACGGGAGGCAGCAGUGGGGAAUAUUGCACAAUGGGCGCAAGCCUGAUGCAGCGACGCCGCGUGAGGGAUGGAGGCCUUCGGGUUGUGAACCUCUUUCGCCAGUGAAGCAGGCCUGCCUCGUUUGUGGGUGGGUUGACGGUAGCUGGAUAAGAAGCGCCGGCUAACUACGUG
This 494-nucleotide ribosomal RNA is filed under the name uncultured bacterium. RNAcentral describes it as "partial 16S ribosomal RNA". It matches the Rfam family "Bacterial small subunit ribosomal RNA", at positions 28 to 507 of the family's 1533-position model. The record is from RNAcentral.